This is a long non-coding RNA of Gallus gallus (chicken), 3378 nucleotides long. The record is from Ensembl. NCBI's taxonomy places the organism in Eukaryota, Metazoa, Chordata, Aves, Galliformes, Phasianidae.
CCCCAUCCUGCCCAUGUGUCACCAUUUCUGAACACCUCCACCCUUCCAUGUGCCACCAUCCCAUGGCAUCCCCAUCCUCCCCAUGUGCCACCACCCCAUCUGUAGUGGCAGUGCUGAGUCCCGGCCUGAAGCAGUGACGGAGCACGUGGCGGAAGGCCGGGCCAGCCCGGGGAGCUCAGGUGCGUGCAAUGCAAUACAGCUGAGUGAGUGGGAGGGCUGGAGCCAGGACCCACCCCUUCCCAGCCCUCAUUGAAGGCCUGGCAGUGGAGGUGAGGGGCACUCCCUGGAGCUCUCUGUGUACCUGCGGCCUUCAGGAGUAUGAUACCAUCCCAUGGCACCUCCAUCUCCCGGUGCGCCACCAUCACUGGGCAUCUCAUCCUGUCCGUGUGUCACCACCCCGUGGCAUUUCCAUCCUCCCAUCUGCCUCCAACCCCAUGGACCCCCCCCUCUGAGCCAGCCUGGAGUCCUGCAGCCCCUUCCUUUGCCAGACUGUCCCCGUGGGGCGGCUGUGUGUCCCCGUGGGGCAGUGGAAGGCCUGGGAGCGCAGGGAUGGAGAUGCAGCUGUGCAGGGUUGGAGCUGCAUCCAUGGAUGGAGCCGUUCCUAUUGAUGGAGCUGCACCCGUGGAUGAGAUGACAGCAGGGAUGGAGCCGUACCCACGGAUGGAGCCAUAUGGAGAUGGAGCUGCGCCCGUACCCACGGAUGGGAUGGAGUGACCCCACGGAUGAGGGCCGUACCCCACAGAUGGGGCCAUGUGGGGACGCAGCCGCACCAACACGAGAUGGUUUCACCUCUCCAAAUCAACACACGCUGCUGCAGCCUCCGCCGUCCUCUCCCUCCACCCCUCCCCGCUCUGCCCCACACGCAGCACCCCGCGGCCAUCCCUGCCCUCCUCACCCCCGGGACCCCCAGCAACGCCACCGCAGCGUUUGCUCGGUGCCGGCCGUUCCUGGAGCUCUCACACCGUGGCCAACUGCACGCUGUGCGCCCGGGGACGUCACGGCCGAUCCCUCGCUCCGCUUCCUCGAAGGCCGUCUGCUGCGUGCCAGGGUGACGCUGGCGGCUCGGGGCUGACCUGCUUUUUCUCCUCCAGCCCUCGCUUUGAAUCCCUCCGGCCGGCCCGGCCCUCUGCACGGCUCCGAGAGCGCCGACGGCUUCCUGUGUGGGCGGUGGAAUUUGGCACCCGGCUGUGGGGAUGGAGCGGCCGAUGUACAACGCCCGGCACCGUGCGCCCAGCAACGCCGUGCAACGAGCAACACCGUGCAUGCAUCCUGCACUGUGCACCCAGCAACACUGCACCCAGCAAUGCUGUGCACCCAGCAAUGCCGUGCAUGCAUCCUGCACUGUGCACCCAGCAAGGCUGUGCAUGCAUCCUGCACUGUGCACCCAGCAACACUGCACCCAGCAACGCCGUGCACCCACCAAGGCUGUGCAUGCAUCCUGCACUGUGCACCCAGCAACGCUGUGCACCCACCAAGGCUGUGCAUGCAUCCUGCACUGUGCACCCAGCAACACUGCAGCCAGCAAUGCCGUGCGCCCAUCCUGCACCGCGCAUCCAGCAAUGCCGUGCAUGCAUCAUGCACUGUGCCCCCAGCAACACUGUGCACCCAGCAACACUGCACCCAGCAAUGCUGUGCACCCACCAACGCUGUGAACGCAUCCUGCACCAUGCACACAUCAGUGCUCUGCACCCAGCAAUGCUGUGCACGCAUUCUGCACCGUGCACCCAGCAACACUGUGCACCCACCAAUGCUGUGCAUGCAUCCUGCACUGUGCACACAUCAACGCUGUGCACCCAGCAACAUGACACCCAGCAAUGCUGUGCAUGCAUCCUGCACCACGCACCCAGCAACACUGAGCACCCAGCAGCACGGUGCACACAUCCUGCACCAUGCACACAUCAGUGCUCUGCACCCAGCAAUGCUGUGCACGCAUUCUGCACCGUGCACCCAGCAACACUGUGCACCCACCAAUGCUGUGCAUGCAUCCUGCACUGUGCACACAUCAACGCUGUGCACCCAGCAACAUGACACCCAGCAAUGCUGUGCAUGCAUCCUGCACCACGCACCCAGCAACACUGAGCACCCAGCAGCACGGUGCACACAUCCAGCACCAAUGCACCCACCAACACUGCACCCAGCAAUGCUGUGCAUGCAUCCUGCACCGUGCACCUACCAACGCUGUGCACCCAACCAGCACCGUGCAACCAUCCAGGGCUGUGCGCCCACCCAACACCAUGCACACAUGUGGCACUGUGCACCCAUCCAGCACCCAAAAUCAUGCACCCACCAACUCUGUGCACCACCACCAACGUGCACACAUCACCCACGCAGCACCAUGCACCCACUGUGCACCGUGCUGCACACGGAGGGCACACAUUGCACUUGCUUGCAUGUUGCACACCUGGCAGGCACAUAACAUGUUGCACGCCUAGAGCACGUUGCAUGCUUUGUAUGCAUGUUGCACGUUGAGAACACGCGCUGCAUGCUUUAUAUGCACGUUGCAUGCUGACAACACAUGUUGCAUACUAUAUGCACAUUGCAUGUUGCAUGCUGAGCAUGCGUGUUGCACACCGGUCGUGCAUGCUGCACUGUGCACCCUGCUGACCCCAUGCACCCACCAGCACCGUGCAGGAGCUGCAUGCACCGGGGCUGCCCACACACCCUAAUAGCAACGUGUGGCCUCUCCAGGAAGACCCUUUGUUCCCCCUCCACCCCAUAAGUGCGGUCCCCUCCUCCUUCUGUGCUUAUGGGGGGGGUCCCGGUGCUGCCCAUGCUGUAACCCCAAUAAUGCCCAUGGUGUAACCCCAAUGGUGUCCGUAGUGUAACCCCACUUCUGUCCAUGGGAUACCCCAAUGCUGCCCAUGGUGUACCCCAAUAGUUCCCAUGGUGUACCCCACUACUGCCCGUAGUGUAACCCCAAUAGUGCCCAUAGUGAAACCCCAAUGCUGCCCAUGGUGUAACCCCAAUACUGCUCAUGUUGUAGCCCAAUAGUUCCCAUGUUGUACCCCAAUACUGCCCAUGGUGUAACCCCAAUGGUGCCCGUAGUGUAACCCCACUUCUACCCAUGGUGUACUCCAAUGGUGCCCAUGUUGUACCCCACUACUGCCCACGAUGUACCCCACUACUGCACACAGUGUAACCCCAAUACCGCCCACGGUGUACCCCAAUAAUGCCCAUGCAAUAACCCCAACGCUGCCCAUGGUGUAACCCCACUUCUGCCCAUGGUGUACCCCAAUGGUGCCCAUGUUGUACCCCAAUACUGCCCACGAUGUACCCCAAUGCUGCCCGUAGUGUAACCCCAAUAGUGCCCAUGUUAUAACCCCAAUAGUGCUCAUAGUGUAAUCCCACUUCUACACAUGAUGUACCCCAAUGGUGCCC